Molecule: ribosomal RNA, 864 nt
Filed under: Bacillus velezensis
Lineage: Bacteria; Bacillati; Bacillota; Bacilli; Caryophanales; Bacillaceae
Description: bacterial SSU rRNA
Rfam family: Bacterial small subunit ribosomal RNA
Source: RNAcentral
CCCUAAGGGGGCAGGCCUAUACAUGCAGUCGAGCGGAAGAUGGGAGCUUGCUCCCUGAUGUUAGCGGCGGACGGGUGAGUAACACGUGGGUAACCUGCCUGUAAGACUGGGAUAACUCCGGGAAACCGGGGCUAAUACCGGAUGGUUGUUUGAACCGCAUGGUUCAGACAUAAAAGGUGGCUUCGGCUACCACUUACAGAUGGACCCGCGGCGCAUUAGCUAGUUGGUGAGGUAACGGCUCACCAAGGCAACGAUGCGUAGCCGACCUGAGAGGGUGAUCGGCCACACUGGGACUGAGACACGGCCCAGACUCCUACGGGAGGCAGCAGUAGGGAAUCUUCCGCAAUGGACGAAAGUCUGACGGAGCAACGCCGCGUGAGUGAUGAAGGUUUUCGGAUCGUAAAGCUCUGUUGUUAGGGAAGAACAAGUGCCGUUCAAAUAGGGCGGCACCUUGACGGUACCUAACCAGAAAGCCACGGCUAACUACGUGCCAGCAGCCGCGGUAAUACGUAGGUGGCAAGCGUUGUCCGGAAUUAUUGGGCGUAAAGGGCUCGCAGGCGGUUUCUUAAGUCUGAUGUGAAAGCCCCCGGCUCAACCGGGGAGGGUCAUUGGAAACUGGGGAACUUGAGUGCAGAAGAGGAGAGUGGAAUUCCACGUGUAGCGGUGAAAUGCGUAGAGAUGUGGAGGAACACCAGUGGCGAAGGCGACUCUCUGGUCUGUAACUGACGCUGAGGAGCGAAAGCGUGGGGAGCGAACAGGAUUAGAUACCCUGGUAGUCCACGCCGUAAACGAUGAGUGCUAAGUGUUAGGGGGUUUCCGCCCCUUAGUGCUGCAGCUAACGCAUUAAGCACUCCGCCUGGGGAG